This 437-nucleotide ribosomal RNA is filed under the name uncultured bacterium. RNAcentral describes it as "bacterial SSU rRNA". It matches the Rfam family "Bacterial small subunit ribosomal RNA", at positions 918 to 1349 of the family's 1533-position model. The record is from RNAcentral.
GGCCCGCACAAGCGGUGGAGUAUGUGGUUUAAUUCGACGCAACGCGCAGAACCUUACCCAGGCUUGACAUCCUCGGAACCUGAUGGAAACAUCGGGGUGUCCCCUCACGGGGAAGCCGAGUGACAGGUGCUGCAUGGCUGUCGUCAGCUCGUGUCGUGAGAUGUUCGGUUAAGUCCGGCAACGAGCGCAACCCCUGUCGUUAGUUGCCAUCAAUUCGGUUGGGCACUCUAGCGAGACUCCCGGUGUUAAGCCGGCGGAAGAUGGGGAUGACGUCAAGUCCUCAUGGCCCUUAUGUCUGGGGCUACACACGUACUACAAUGGCAUUUACAGAGGGCAGCAAUACGGCAACGUGGAGCCAAUCCCAAAAAGAAUGCCUCAGUUCGGAUUGGAGUCUGCAACUCGACUCCAUGAAGUUGGAAUCGCUAGUAAUCGCGGAU